Non-coding RNA from Camellia sinensis, 1087 nucleotides. Lineage: Eukaryota; Viridiplantae; Streptophyta; Magnoliopsida; Ericales; Theaceae. The record is from RefSeq and is a predicted model, not a curated record.
AAACUCUACGCUUGAAUCUUCGGAAUCCACCGAAGAGAUCUCUCUCUUGAAUUUAAAGUAACCAACUCCUUGAUGUAUGUAUCUUAGAUCAUGAUUGAAGAACUCUUCUCAAAACAUCAAGGAAACCUCACAAAAACCUCAGAACCAAACUUCCAACAAAAGCCUAGGACUCUUGAAUAAGAUCUAGAAAAAACAGUCCUAAAAACAACCUAAAUAGAUAUAAAUAGGAAUCCUGAAUCCGCGAUCUCCGCUCGAGCGCCCAACAGCCCGCUCGAGCGGCUUCAACAAAAUGCGCGUGUGGUAACACAGUGGCCCGCUCGAGCGCUUUAUAACCCGCUUGAGCGCAAAAUCACGCACUCCAGUACUUUUACACUCCAGUACUUUUACAGACCUGUCAAAAUACUGAGAGACCACAAACUCCGCUCGAGCGUCAAUGUCCCCGCUCGAGCGGGAAGAACAAAAACACAGAAAAAUUAACAACUUUAACAACACAAAGUUUUGUAUCCGGAUUUGACAAUCAAGGGACCUAACAACAGUGAACUAGCAGAUGUGGCUGCCGUUAGUUCACGUGGGUGCGCCUCAGUUAUGCAUGUAGAUUGUGAUGCUUUGAGGCUAAAGCAAGUUGAGGAACAUUGUUACUACAAUAGGAGGGCCACCACGUGGGCGUGGUUGUUAAUAGGCCACCCAUGCUAACUGGUUGAUUGCGUGUUGCUGCCUCUUGUGGUGAUUCAAAAUUGGUUUGGUUUUUGAAUGGCUCGGGUGGGCCCGAAACACGUGGGUUUACAUGAGGUGAGGUUUGAGGAAUCAUAUUGAAAGUCGGAGGGCUUGUCGUGAUUUUCACAAUGAUGAUCUUGGAUACAUAAUCGGGCGAUGUCUGCAUUUUUGGAUUAACUCUUCUUCUAGCUUGAGGUGGGCAUUCCUACUCAUUCUUAUGUGUUUUAACAUAAAUGUUGAGUUAUUUGUAUAGAUGGUUUGAUUUGGGAAGUUAGGGUUUGAGAUGUAUAAUGUUGAAAAGAGGGGUUUUGUUCAAUUGACUCAUAUCUAUGUGUUUUGGGUUUAAAAUAGAGAUUGUUGAUAUUUUUGAUAA